AGUGAUGUUGGGGGAGGAGAAUGAGGCCCUGCAGGGGACCAGAAUGGUGUGCAAAUGAAGGCGUGGAGGAAGGAAAACAUGAGGCGCCAACUUUGAGCUGAAUCCUAGGAAGAAGGUGGCCUAGCCCAGAGUGAGGUUGGAGGCUGAUCCAGGCAAAGCAGCUGUAUUCACAGGGACAGGAGGCAACUGUCUAAGAGAUGAGGAAACUGAGGCUGAGAGGGUAGAGAACUUUGCCUGAGGUCACUCAGCAGGGACCCACCCAUCACAGUAAAUGCCAGCACUGCUGAUGCCAAAACAAUGUUAUUUGUAGGCCCUCGGAAUUUGUGACCUGAAGGAAGAAGAGCAGGGCCGUGGGAAGUAUGUAACCAGUGUCAUGCCCCUGGUCCCAAGGAAGCAGUGGCUUGGCCUGAACACCCUGUCCUACCUGGUCCUACCUGGAUGCUGGCCUCAGUAAGCUCCUGGGCUCAUUGAAGAUGAACCUAGCAGUAGUAUUUACACCACUUGUUGUGUGCCCACUGUGGGCCCGGCGCCAUGCCGAGUGCUCUAUGGAUGUGAGAGAAACGGAGGCCCAGAAAGCAGAAAUGAUGUGUUAAGAUCACUCAUCAAGCUGAUGAUGAGAACACUGAAGCAGUUUUUUCUAAAGAUAGCUGCCUGGCACAGUGGCUCACAUCUGUAGUCCCAGCAUUUGGGGAGGCCAAGGCAGGUGGAUCACUUGAGGCCAGGAAUUCAAGACCAGCAUGGCCAACAUGUGCUGGGAGAGAAAAGCAUACGACAUAGACAGGGAGGUCAAGCUCCACCACGCAGAUGAGGUGCAGGCCACCAGUCUUCCUCUGCCACAUCUCUUUCUGAAAAGGACUUCACAUUCACCCUUGCAAUCCAUGUGGGGACACUGUUGGAUAGGAGGCGUGGUCCCAGCGUGGUCUCCCUGUCUGGGCCUCUGCCUAUGCCAAAUGUUUGCCUUACGCUGCACACUCAAGAGGUUCCAUGUAUACAGAUGGGAAUUCCAGAGCUACAGAAAAGGCAGCAAGCACCAUGAUUUAAGCUAACCAGUGUGGAUUCACACCUUCCUCUCUCUCUAUCAGUGGCAGAACUACCAGCUAGAGUAAGAAGUGGUUGAUCCAGGACCUAAACAUUCUGGAAACUCUUGCCCACUUCUGGGAGAAAUGACCCAAUCCAUAGUACUAAGCACACCUUAACUUUCGUAGGACGCAGGCAAGUUGUCAUACCGUGUGCCUAAAUAUAGAAAAAUGAUCCACUGGACUAAUAAAGUGUUAAAUAAAAU
RNAcentral lists this long non-coding RNA (1282 nucleotides) under Homo sapiens (human). RNAcentral describes it as "long intergenic non-protein coding RNA 2395". Lineage: Eukaryota; Metazoa; Chordata; Mammalia; Primates; Hominidae. The record is from RNAcentral.